Molecule: transfer RNA, 83 nt
Filed under: Danio rerio (zebrafish)
Lineage: Eukaryota; Metazoa; Chordata; Actinopteri; Cypriniformes; Danionidae
Description: tRNA-Leu (TAA) (tRNA-Leu-TAA-20-1)
Rfam family: tRNA
About the family: Transfer RNA (tRNA) molecules are approximately 80 nucleotides in length.
Source: Rfam by way of RNAcentral
AUCAGGAUGGCCGAGGGGUUAAGGCGUUGGACUUAAGAUCCAAUGGACAAAUGUCCUCGUGGGUUCGAAUCCCACUCCUGGUA